RNAcentral lists this long non-coding RNA (8021 nucleotides) under Nicotiana benthamiana. RNAcentral's name for it is "long non-coding RNA (NBEN_LNC011927)". Lineage: Eukaryota; Viridiplantae; Streptophyta; Magnoliopsida; Solanales; Solanaceae. The record is from RNAcentral.
GCCUUGUUGGUGCUAGAAUCUAGUUUUGAAUUCACUGUGAAAUCAGCUUGGGAAUAUCUGAGAAGGAGGAAUGACCCUGGAAAUACAUAUAGAAAUAUAUGGGUGAAAGGUCUUCCUAUUAAAAUCUCAUUUUUCAUGUGGAAAGUGUGGAGGAAUAAACUACAUUUGGAUGAAUUUUUUAAAAGAUUGGGUUACCUUAUAGCUUCUAAAUGCUAGUGCUACUCUGAAUCACAGAAGGAGACAAUGCAACAUUUGUUCUUCACAUCAUAUGUAGCAACCAAAGUAUGGAAGUACGUUUUUGGACAUGCAUGUAUUACACUAGAAGGAAUUUCAUUAAAUCAGGCUAUUGUAAAAUGCUGGACUGCAGAUGUUAUACCUAGAGUUAAACCUAUAAUGCAAGCAUUACCUUCUGUCAUUGGGUGGCAGCUUUGGAAGAGGAGGAACAGAGAUAUACAUGGAGAUACUGUAACAGUAAAUAGGGUUAUAUAUCAUGUGUCCAGUACUAUGCAAUCUCUUGUGAAAUUCAGAAAGCCAAACCUGCAGAACGUGCCAUAUACAUGGCUAGACCUUCUGUACAUAUUGGAGUCUUAUCUUCCUAAAUUGAAGUAUGCUAAUGUGUUAUGGGAAUGUCCAAAUUCAGGAUGGAUAAAGGUGAACACAAAUGGGGCAUCAAGGGGAAAUCCUGGGAGGAGCUCAAUAGGAUAUGUGAUAAGAAAUGAAGAGGGAGAUCAAGUAUAUGGCUGUGGAAAAGAAUUGCAUGAAGGAAUAAAUACAGAAGCUGAAGUUAAAGCUAUACUUGAAGAAAUGAAGUUUUGUGUUAGAAAUGAUUAUAUACUCAUUGAAUUUCACACUGAUUUAAUGAUACUUAAGCAUGUUUUAAAUGGGUAAUGGGAUGUACCAUGGAACAUAGCAGAGCAGGUGGAGGAGAUAAAGGAACUAAUGAGCAAAAACAAUGUAACAAUGGCUCACACUCUGAGGGAAGAAAAUAGAUUAGCUGAUCAUUUAGCUAAUUAUGCCUUGGAAUUUGGAGGUAUUGAAACAAAAAAAAUUUGGGAGCUAGAUAUACAAGGAAGGAAUAUAGUAAAUGAUGAUAAGUCACAAUGCCCAUAUAACAAAAUAAAAGUUGCAGGAAACUAGAAGGAGAGGGGGCAACAAGGUGGAGAGGUGGUAUGCUGGCAAUUUUAGUGAUAUAAUAAGAGUGUCAUAUUCAAAUAAGGGUUUAGGAGAAUAUAGUCAGUUCAUUGGAUUGGCUAAAUAUGGGAUCAGGAGGAAAAAUCAUCCACUAUGGUCGAAUCCUUAUGGAGGAGAUCAUAGGAAGAAGUUUUAUAUCUAACAAUUUUUUCUUUUUUGCAGGUGAUGCUAGUGUGUCCAUGAGUUCUCUAUUGGUAAAUCAUCCAUGGGUGGUAUUAGCACAAUGUGCUCAACCCCAGGAUAAGAUAUCAGUAAGGAAUAAAAGUAUGGACACAUGGAGGAUUAUCAGUAGGCUGCAUAUCAUUCUCUAUUGGAAUAAAGUAUACAUGAGACUGCGCAGAAGUUAUGCAUUAGUUGCAAAGCAAUGCAGAGGCAGUAUGGAGCCCAUAAAAUAAAAAAAUGUGGGCUAUACUUACAGAUAGUCAGGAAAUGAGAUCUGCAGCACAAUUCUAUGCUGUAGAAUACAAGAUCCAAAUCAUUUGGGAGGAGAAAAUGAUGGUAUUUGAUUUUUCUAACUUGGUGAUCCUUUUUGCGGAUGAAUCUAUUUGACAUGUGCAUUCGUACUUGCUGCAACUUUCAAGGGUGGUAUUAGUUAUUUUCGCUCAUCCCCCUAAAGGAAUAGCUAUAGCAGGCAUAAUCAUAGGCAUAAUCUCCAAAUAUGAUGAAAAGAUAGUUUUAUCAAAGAAGGAGCAGGGCAAAUGGUACUUAAAAAAGGCAGAAUUAAGGGAUAAUUUUAAUCGAACAUCAAAGGCCAUUGUUGUGAGUCUGACUAAUAAUUUUAUAUAACCUCAAAGGGUGGUUUUAGCACCUAGUGUUCAUUCCCUUUGGGAAGUAUCAAAAGUAAGCAAUAGCAGAAAGAGACUGAUGGCUAUCACUACAACUGGAUCAAGACGUGCAUAUAAUACAGAUCAUUUAAGGCACCAAGCAAAGGCACAGGAAAAUAAAUUAUCAGAAGAGUUUACUGCAAACUUGGGUUAUAGAUGGAUACAACUUCAAAGGGUAGUAUUAGCACGUAGUCCUCAUUCCCGUGGAGAAGUACCAAAUUUAAGCAAAAGAUGCAGGAAAGUAGAACCAACAACUUUUAAAGAUGGAACUAGGCACAUAUGCUGACAUGGUUAGUCUUAGUAUUAAUAUUAAUGAUGUCAACAACAAGUAAUUGGAAGUCACAAGAAGCAGAUAAACAAUGAAGCAAGUGGAUGCAGAAAUGGACAAAAUGUGGACAUGCCUCAUAUUGGACACGAGUUUUAAACUCAAGGGAUACAAAUUGGACUAUAUUGUUAAUGCAAAUUGAUAAGAAGACAUAUGUGGAAGGAUUUCAUGCAGCUAGGACAAAGAGAACUGGAACAGGAAAUUACUUCAAAUGGAAAAAAACAUUGACAUCAGCACAACAAAGGGCAUGAAUCAAAUCGAACAACUGGAAUGAUAUGGACAUACUCAUGAACUGCAAAUCAUAUUGGGAGGGCAUAACAAUUAUCUGGGCAAAGAAAAUUGAGACUCAAGCUUCAAGAAGGAGAGCAACAAAUCAAUAAACUAACACUGGUUACCAACAUGCAACACCAAGCAAGUUACGUCAGAGGGUUUCAAAGGCUAAUUGUUAGCAUAUGUAAUAACACUAGAAUUCAUUAUGAUAUUAGGGUAGAUGUAGGCAUCAAAGUUCAUUUGUUACAUUUUGUAAGAUCUCCAGACAUGCUUGUUUUUUUAUUUUAAAAUAUUUAUAAAACAGCCCUAGGCACAUAGCCUAGUGGAGUUUGCUUAAAAAAUAAAUGAAGGAUUAGCAAACAUCUUGACUAAAUUUCUGACUCAAGAGAGGAUAUCUGAGUAUAACUAUUAUGUUCUCAACAAUGGGAAGGGUCAGCCUUGAAAAUCUGAUGAUAGAAAAGAUAGAGUAAUCCUCAUGACUUACUUGUAUCAAAAGAGAAUAGAAAUACUAAUCAAGGUAAAGAAUGCCCACUGAUUCGAGCUAGGAACAAGGCCCCACAUCUACAACACCAGAAGCGGAAAAUCAAAUUGUUGGAAAGAAGGCUUUUGCAUAGAGACAUCACUUUAUCACCCAUGUAUCUCACUACAAGUAGACUAGACAUCAUGGUAAAAGCUGAGUUCUGUUGAAGGUCUCAGUUAAAUCAAAUGUAUUCUCAUAUGAAGGAUAGUGUAAGUAUCUUGAGGUAUCCUAGUAGAAUACUAAUUUUGGUUCUCUAAUGUCAUCCAAGUAAAUGGAUAAGAAAAGUUCGCCUAAAUUGGGAUAGUAUUUGAGUUCCUAUCUUGUCUCAUAAGGCUCAAUGAAGCAGAAUUCAAUGGCACUCUUAACAGCUAAAGCAGAAUAGGCAUAAUCAAUAUCCUACAAUGGUCAAGUACUAUGGAACAAGCAACAAAGUACAAUAGACCAAGAAACAAAUUGGAAGACCUGAGUCCAACUCAAGAGGGUCCCUGGGAAGAAAACAUUCUAAAAACAAUCGUGUUGCACUGGGGAUGAUGAAACACAACUAAGAACAUGGUUCUUCAUUAUUGGUUAUGAAAGUCAUAGUUAGGUAAAACCUAGCUAAAUUGUUUUCUAGCUAAGUAUAACUCAGAUCUUUACCGUUACAGGUAGAUACACAUGAUGACUAUAGAAGCAGAUGCUGCAGUGCAUGAUGAAUAAGGGGACAAAACUCACUUGCCAGACCUAUCAAGAAACCUAGUUCUCUAACACAGGUUAGUGGUUUCUUGGUUCUUUCAUACACAAUUUAAAAUGAACUAAAAAAAUAAUGCCAUAUCAUCAUCAACGUGACAUACUCUUUAAAGUAGUGUCUCUUUGUCUGAUACGUCAUAACCCAAACGUCACUCAUUUCUCUAAACGAUAUAUCUCCAAGGCAAAAGGGUGUUACCAUUUCAGAACGGGGGCCUCAUCAUAAUUAAAUCAACAACACAACUCUUUAUCUUCCAAACUCAAAAUUCCCUGUUUGUCUUCUCUCUUCUCAAAUCCACACUCCCUCGAGAAUUCUCAGCAUGCCUGAAAAUAAGCAACCGUUAGUAUGCCUGAUAAAACUGUGACUAAGUCCUCACCAGUGAGAAUUCCAGCAAAGGACCUCUCUCCAAACCCUUAAGAAGAGUUUCCUCCACACUCCACUACCUUUGCCACCCUCUCCGAGUCCACUCCUCUAUGAAAGUAUGAAGAUGUUUGUCCUCAUCCAUUCUCACUGGUCAAACAGAGUCAAUAGAGUGAACAAAGAAACCUCGUUUAGGAACCUUCUAGUUUUCUAUGGCUAAGAACUUGAUGUAAAGAACAUGUGACUAGUCAUGAAGAGACUGAAAUCUCUUGGACAAGUGAUGACUUAGAAGGCAUCACUCCUUCAUCUAUUGAAAUCACCAUGGAACCACAAGAAAAUAAAGAAAUAGAGAAUAUGUUUUACAUUACGUCAUAAGAGGUCAUUAUAGAGGAAUGUGCAAGAGAGUCUGAGCCUCAAAGGGAAGAAAUAGAAGAAGAGGGAGCAAUUGUGCCAUUUGAUCAGCCGGCACAAGCUGAUGCUACUGGGUCCCCAAAUAACGAACCUGAUCCUUCCAUGGAGAAUCCAGGCCGGGAGUCAUCUUCCCAGGUCAGUAUUGAUCUUGCUGCCUCUCCCCACUUCGAUGCUGAGACUUUGAAUAUGGGGGUGCUUGAGACAAAUCCUGACAAUGAAGAAUACGCAAAUGAUUUAGUGUAUUCUAACUUCAUCAAGGCUAGGACUAAGCCAACGGUAACUUGAACGCCACCUGCUAAGCGACCUAAUAGACAACUGUAGAAAAAGAAGGCUCUAGAGUUUGCCCUAAAGAAGAGUAAAAGGAGUAGAAGAAGGAGAAAGUUGGUUAAGGAUGGAAAAGUUGUACAAGAAGAGAAUGUUCCUAUAGUGGAUAUGGAUGAGGAAACCAAAGAAGAACCUAGUUCCUUAUACUGAAAGUCUUCAAGGAAAAUGCACUGUCUCUCUCAAUCUGAAAAGCACACCUCUAAGGAUGCUAAGAUUUUUUCCAAGAGUGAUGUUGCGGGUUCUAGUAAAAAGCUGUCAAAACGUUCUGGUGACAAGACAAUGAAGGAGGGUGGUGACAAGUCUUAUGAGGAACAAGUGGAGAAAUCUAGUAAACAUAGGUAGAGCAAGUCACUGGAGAAGGAAAUGUCUGUUGAAAAGUCAAUGAAAGGAAAUAGGGAUAAUGAUGAUGAUAAUAAGGAACCACGUUGCGUCAAGAAAGGAAAGAUGAGUGAAACUCUAAGGUUUGAGAAAGGGAAGCUGGGGAAUCAAAAAGUGUUGUGGGGCUGCACUUUUGCCUCUGACAUUCUAGAGAGUGCUGUGAUGAGACAAGUUUGGAUGUUUGUGAUGCUCAACAGUGGACAAAUUUGUUUACAAGUGAGGCUCCUAUAGUGUAUGAGGAGGAGGUGUUGAGUUUCUAUACUAGCCUCUUCACAGUAGAUGGUGAUCAAAUUUGUGUGUUGGUAAAUGAGGUAGAUAUAGUGAUGGAUUCUUCCUUAUGGGGGCCAAUUAUGGAUGUUCCUAUCGAAGAAUUGUCAUCUGCUCGGGCACUUGCACAACAAACUUUAGAAAUGCCAUUGUCAAGGGCAAGGCACUACAUCAUGUGGAAUAGGUGCAUAAGAAGGCACUCCUUCCAGUUUAUCAACUGCUCUUUGAGAUGGUUAACAAAGUAUUACUUCCUCGUACUGAAAGAAAAUAUGUUGUAUCCAAAGUCAGAGGAGUUUGAAGCACUUCCAAAAUCUCUCAACUGAUAAAUUCUCAGAAUAGUGCCAUUGAGAAGAUUCAGAAGUUGAAGGCUAGGAGCACGAUUCUUGAGAAUCCGCUUAGUCAGUUGAAAGAGGUAUUUAUUUCCAGUGGUUCUCACAGCACAGAGUUUGCACGCCUAUCAAAGGAGAAUUUUGAUCUAAGUAAAUAGGUAUAGGACCUGUAAGAAAGACUGCUCAAUGAGAAACUAUCCGCGAAGCUUGCAUGGAUCUUGUCCUCCAAACUCUUGCUUUCUCUUCCAAGUCCCCUUCCUCCAAUGUCCCUUAGAGAAUGUUCCCUUGGUGUCCAGUGUCUAUCCUUUUAUGUUGUUGUUGGUGAUAUUUUGUUAUUUUUGGUAUAUGUUUUUUAUAUGUUCUAGAUUUUGGAUGGAAAACAAUGACAUAGCUAUUGCCUGUAAUAGUCCAAUUCUUGUAAAUGAAAGUUGUUUCCCUUUUGCUAUCUAUGAUGCUGCUCUUUACUUCUGUCUUUUAUCAUGAUGUGAGCACAUAAGUGAAAUGAGUUAACUAUGAUAGACUUCUUUAUGCUGCUAACAUGUUCUGUCCUCUUUAUGAUGCCAAAAGAGGAAAGAUUUAAUUUAAUAAUCAAAAUAAAGAUGGGGGAACCUCAUUCAAGGGGAACUCACAAAAUUUCAGAAACUGAGGAUAUACAACGUGAAUCUAUCGAUGUCAAUGAAACUUUUUCACCGGUAGUCAAACUGACUACCAUCAGAUGCCUUCUAGCUGCAGCAGUCAAACGGAAUUGGGGAAUUUACCAAUUCGACGUGAAUAAUGCAUUCUUGUACGGUGAUCUAAAUGAGGAAGUGUGUAUGAAAUUACCUCCUGGUAUUAUGUCUCCUCCCCUUAGACAUGUUAGCAGGUUGGAGAAGUCCCUUUAUGGACUUCAAUAUUAUUCUAGGCAAUGGUAUGCAAAGCUGACCACUACAUUAAACUUCAAAGGAUUGAUUCAUUCUUUAAAAGGAUAUUCUCUUUUUUUCAAGAAAACAAACUAUCCUAUCUCAAUUGUUGUUAUUUAUGUCGACGAUAUACUUCUAAUAGAUAAUGACAAUUCAAAACUACGAUCUCCAAAGGAAUUUUUAGACCAAGAGUUCAAAAUAAAGGAUCUCGGAGACUUAUAUUUUUUCAUAAGAAUGGAAGUUGUUCGUGAACCUUAGGGGCUUAUCCUUCAUCAGAGAAAGUUCACUCUAGAUCUUCUCCGGGAGUUCAAUACACUAUAUGUACGCCAUGUCUCUUCUUCUCUUGAUCCAUCUGUCAAGCUAAAUGCUAUGGUUGGUGCUGUCAUACCAGAUCCUACUUUAUAUCAGCAUCUUUUGGGAAACUCAAUUACCUAACACAUACGAGGCCUGAUCUUUCUUUCUCGAUUCGCAUUUAAGUCAGUACAUGCAAGACCCGCGAAAACCUCAUCUUGAUGUAGCUUUUCGAGUGCUACAUUAUCUGUUACGCGAUCCUGGUCUUGGAAUUUUUAUGACAGCCUCUUCCUCUUUUGAGUUGUUGGCUUUUUGUGACUCGGAUUGGGGCUCCUGUCUAGAUUCUCGUUGCUCUGUGAGUGGCUACUUCAUAUCACUUGGUCCUUCUCCUAUUUCAUGGAAAUCAAGGAAGCAAGCCUCAAUCCUGCUAAGUUAUGCCGAGGCUGAGUAUCGCAGCAUGCAGCGAGUUGUUACAGAGCUCACCUGGUUGGUACGUUUGUUUGAUGAUCUCUCAAUCCCCAUAUCACUUCUUGUUCAUCUUCACUCCGACAGUCAAGCUGCAAUCCUAGCUAAGAACCCCGUCUUUCAUGAAAGGACGAAGCACGUGGAGAUUGACUAUCAUUUUGUGCGUCAACAGUAUCUCACAUGUUUAAUUUCCCUCUCUUUCGUCCGAUCUUCUUCUCAUUUGGUAGAUCUAUUUACCAAAUCCCUCACCGGCCUUGUUCAUCGCAAUCUAUUGUGCAAGUUGGGGUCCUCUCGUCCCCCGCCAACUUGAGGGGGGAUGUUGGUGCACAACCUAGAAGUACGCUAGUAGAGAAGAACAAAAAGAAGAACAAAUAUCUCUUAUUUAGAAACACCAAGGAAGAAGAUAGAGGCGGUGGAAGCUAAGUGUUUGUUUGAAGGGUUUC